RNAcentral lists this ribosomal RNA (433 nucleotides) under uncultured bacterium. Its description in RNAcentral is "partial 16S ribosomal RNA". It matches the Rfam family "Bacterial small subunit ribosomal RNA", at positions 29 to 507 of the family's 1533-position model. The record is from RNAcentral.
AACGAACGCUGGCGGCAUGCCUAACACAUGCAAGUCGAACGAGACCUUCGGGUCUAGUGGCGCACGUGUGCGUAACGCGUGGUAACCUGCCCUUAGGUUCGGAAUAACUCCCCGAAAGGGAUGCUAAUACCGGAUAAUGUCUUCGGACCAAGGAUUUAUCGCGUUUGGAUGGGCCCGCGUUGGAUUAGCUAGUUGGUAGUGUAAAAGCAUACCAAGGCGACGAUGCAUAGCUGGUCGGAGAGGAUGAUCAGCCACACUGGGACUGAGACACGGCCCAGAAUCCUACGGGAGGGAGCAGUGGGGAAUAUUGGACAAUGAGCGAAAGCCUGAUCCAGCAAUGCCGCGUGAGUGAGGAAGGCCUUAGGGUUGUAAAGCUCUUUUACCCGGGAUGAUAAUGACAGUACCGGGAGAAUAAGCUCCGGCUAACUACGUG